UAGGGAAUCUUCGGCAAUGGACGAAAGUCUGACCGAGCAACGCCGCGUGAGUGAAGAAGGUUUUCGGAUCGUAAAACUCUGUUGUUAGAGAAGAACAAGGACGUUAGUAACUGAACGUCCCCUGACGGUAUCUAACCAGAAAGCCACGGCUAACUACGUGCCAGCAGCCGCGGUAAUACGUAGGUGGCAAGCGUUGUCCGGAUUUAUUGGGCGUAAAGCGAGCGCAGGCGGUUUCUUAAGUCUGAUGUGAAAGCCCCCGGCUCAACCGGGGAGGGUCAUUGGAAACUGGGAGACUUGAGUGCAGAAGAGGAGAGUGGAAUUCCAUGUGUAGCGGUGAAAUGCGUAGAAAUAUGGAGGAACACCAGUGGCGAAGGCGGCUCUCUGGUCUGUAACUGACGCUGAGGCUCGAAAGCGUGGGGAGCAAACAGG
RNAcentral lists this ribosomal RNA (429 nucleotides) under Gemmatimonadota bacterium. Its description in RNAcentral is "Gemmatimonadetes bacterium partial 16S ribosomal RNA". It matches the Rfam family "Bacterial small subunit ribosomal RNA", at positions 355 to 776 of the family's 1533-position model. Lineage: Bacteria; Pseudomonadati; Gemmatimonadota. The record is from RNAcentral.